Molecule: ribosomal RNA, 398 nt
Filed under: uncultured bacterium
Lineage: Bacteria
Description: bacterial SSU rRNA
Rfam family: Bacterial small subunit ribosomal RNA
Source: RNAcentral
AACGAACGCUGGCGGCGCGCCUAAUACAUGCAAGUCGAGCGAGAAGACGUAGCAAUACGUUUGUAAAGCGGCGAACGGGUGAGGAAUGCAUGGGUAACCUACCCUCGAGUGGGGAAUAACUAGCCGAAAGGUUAGCUAAUACCGCGUACGCUCCUUGGACUUCGGUUCAGGGAGGAAAGCGAUACCGUGGGUAUCGCGCUCUUGGAUGGGCUCAUGUCCUAUCAGCUUGUUGGUGAGGUAACGGCUCACCAAGGCUUCGACGGGUAGCUGGUCUGAGAGGACGAUCAGCCACACUGGCACUGCGACACGGGCCAGACUCCUACGGGAGGCAGCAGUAAGGAAUAUUGCGCAAUGGGCGAAAGCCUGACGCAGCGACGCCGCGUGGGGGAGUGAAGGUC